This 773-nucleotide ribosomal RNA is filed under the name uncultured Neocallimastigales. RNAcentral describes it as "partial large subunit ribosomal RNA". It matches the Rfam family "Eukaryotic large subunit ribosomal RNA", at positions 24 to 646 of the family's 3401-position model. The record is from RNAcentral. Lineage: Eukaryota; Fungi; Neocallimastigomycota; Neocallimastigomycetes; Neocallimastigales.
CACGCAUGACACACUGCAUAUCAAUAAGCGGAGGAAAAGAAACUAACAAGGAUUCCCUUAGUAACGGCGAGUGAAGCGGGAAGAGCUCAAAUUUGAAAUCUUCAAGGUUCUACCUUGACGAAUUGUAGUUUAUAGAAGUGUUUUCUGUUAGUAGGAGUGGCAAAAGUUCUUUGGAAUAGGACAUCAUAGAGGGUGAGAAUCCCGUAUUUGGUCAUUCUUCUAGCGUUGUGAUACACUUUCAACGAGUCGGAUUGUUUGGGAAUGCAGUCCAAAAUGGGUGGUAAAUUUCAUCUAAAGCUAAAUAUUGGCGAGAGACCGAUAGCGAACAAGUACCGUGAGGGAAAGAUGAAAAGAACUUUGAAAAGAGAGUUAAACAGUACGUGAAAUUGUCAAAAGGGAAGCGUUUGACACCAGUGUUGUUUUCUCGAAAAUCAAUUUAAAAUGGCUGGAUGCUAAGUUGCUAAGACUUUAUCAGCUUGUUUCUUAGUUUUCUUGUCUUUUUAAAUGCACUUUUCGUUUAACAAGUCAACAUCAAUUUCUUUUGCUGUAAAAGGGUAAGAGGAAGGUGGCUUUGACUUCGGUUAAAGUGUUUAUAGCCUUUUACCUCUGCAGUCGGAGAGAUUGAGGUCUGCAGCGUAGACUCUUCGGGGUUAGAUACAUUUGUGCUAAGUUAUAGCCUUUCAUAGACAACUUGUUGACUAUGAUCAGUCAUGUAGCUUACUCGCUUAUGCUAUUUUACCUACGCUUAGGAUGUUGAUCUGUAGUGCGUGCGC